RNAcentral lists this long non-coding RNA (222 nucleotides) under Elaeis guineensis (African oil palm). RNAcentral's name for it is "long non-coding RNA (EGUI_LNC061310)". Lineage: Eukaryota; Viridiplantae; Streptophyta; Magnoliopsida; Arecales; Arecaceae. The record is from RNAcentral.
GGUCACCGCAUCGAAUCUUACUCGGAAUCAAAUAAGGCCGAAGUCAGACUUUGACAGCCUGAUGCGAAAUAUAAUCCUAAAUGUUCAUAGUGAAAGAAAGAGUACAAAUAAAAAGGUAAAAGAAAAAAUGUUUCAUUUCAUGUUUAUACAUAGGCACGGUUGAGCCCAUUACAAAAUAAAGGUCUACAAACUGCAAUUAAGGAAAGCAAAAAUAAGAAGGGA